This 253-nucleotide ribosomal RNA is filed under the name uncultured bacterium. RNAcentral's name for it is "partial 16S ribosomal RNA". It matches the Rfam family "Bacterial small subunit ribosomal RNA", at positions 524 to 776 of the family's 1533-position model. The record is from RNAcentral.
UACGGGGGGAGCGAGCGUUGUUCGGAAUCACUGGGCGUAAAGGGCGUGUAGGCGGCGUGGUGAGUGAGAUGUGAAAGCCCCCGGCUUACCCGGGGAAGUGCAUCUCAUACUGCCAAGCUUGAGUGCGGGAGAGGAUGGGGGAAUUCCUGGUGUAGCGGUGAAAUGCGUAGAUAUCAGGAGGAACACCGGUGGCGAAGGCGCCCAUCUGGCCCGUUACUGACGCUGAGGCGCGAAAGCUAGGGGAGCGAACGGG